AUUGAACGCUGGCGGCAGGCCUAACACAUGCAAGUCGAACGGUAACAGGAAGCAGCUUGCUGCUUUGCUGACGAGUGGCGGACGGGUGAGUAAUGUCUGGGAAACUGCCUGAUGGAGGGGGAUAACUACUGGAAACGGUAGCUAAUACCGCAUAACGUCGCAAGACCAAAGAGGGGGACCUUAGGGCCUCUUGCCAUCGGAUGUUCCCAGAUGGGAUUAGCUAGUAGGUGGGGUAACGGCUCACCUAGGCGACGAUCCCUAGCUGGUCUGAGAGGAUGACCAGCCACACUGGAACGGAGACACGGUCCAGACUCCUACGGGAGGCAGCAGUGGGGAAUAUUGCACAAUGGGCGCAAGCCUGAUGCAGCCAUGCCGCGUGUAUGAAGAAGGCCUUCGGGUUGUAAAGUACUUUCAGCGGGGAGGAAGGGAGUAAAGUUAAUACCUUGGCUCAUUGACGUUACCCGCAGAAGAAGCACCGGCUAACUCCGUG
RNAcentral lists this ribosomal RNA (490 nucleotides) under uncultured bacterium. RNAcentral describes it as "partial 16S ribosomal RNA". It matches the Rfam family "Bacterial small subunit ribosomal RNA", at positions 30 to 507 of the family's 1533-position model. The record is from RNAcentral.